GACGAACGCUGGUGGCGUGCUUAACACAUGCAAGUCGAGCGGUAAGGCCCUUUCGGGGGUACACGAGCGGCGAACGGGUGAGUAACACGUGGGUGACCUGCCCUUAGCUCUGGGAUAAGCCUGGGAAACUGGGUCUAAUACCGGAUAUGACUCCAUGACGCAUGUUGUGGGGUGGAAAGCCUUGUGCGGCUAGGGGAUGGGCCCGCGGCCUAUCAGCUUGUUGGUGGGGUGAUGGCCUACCAAGGCGACGACGGGUAGCCGGCCUGAGAGGGCGACCGGCCACACUGGGACUGAGACACGGCCCAGACUCCUACGGGAGGCAGCAGUGGGGAAUCUUGCGCAAUGGGCAAAGCCUGACGCAGCGACGCCGCGUGAGGGAUGACGGCCUGGUGUAAC
RNAcentral lists this ribosomal RNA (396 nucleotides) under uncultured bacterium. RNAcentral describes it as "bacterial SSU rRNA". It matches the Rfam family "Bacterial small subunit ribosomal RNA", at positions 28 to 429 of the family's 1533-position model. The record is from RNAcentral.